RNAcentral lists this ribosomal RNA (167 nucleotides) under uncultured bacterium. RNAcentral's name for it is "partial 16S ribosomal RNA". It matches the Rfam family "Bacterial small subunit ribosomal RNA", at positions 1335 to 1500 of the family's 1533-position model. The record is from RNAcentral.
CUAGUAAUCGCGGAUCAGCACGCCGCGGUGAAUACGUUCCCGGGCCUUGUACACACCGCCCGUCACACCAUGGGAGCCGGUAAUACCCGAAGUCAGUAGCCUAACCGCAAGGGGGGGCGCUGCCGAAGGUAGGAUUGGCGACUGGGGUGAAGUCGUAACAAGGUAGC